GGCUGGUCCCAGUGCAGUGGUAUUUACAACUGACUGAUCCCAACCAGUUACAGAUUCCCUUUGUUCCUUCUCACUCCCACUGCUUCACUUGACUGGCCUUUA
Otolemur garnettii (small-eared galago) is the source of this 102-nucleotide unclassified non-coding RNA. It matches the Rfam family "Y RNA". Rfam says of the family: Y RNAs are components of the Ro ribonucleoprotein particle (Ro RNP), in association with Ro60 and La proteins. The Y RNAs and Ro60 and La proteins are well conserved, but the function of the Ro RNP is not known. The record is from Ensembl. NCBI's taxonomy places the organism in Eukaryota, Metazoa, Chordata, Mammalia, Primates, Galagidae.